GAUGAACGCUGGCGGCGUGCUUAACACAUGCAAGUCGAACGAGGAUUUAACGGAAUGCGAUUCGUCAAAUGAAAUUAAAUCCGAGUGGCGGACGGGUGAGUAACGCGUGGAUAACCUGCCUCACACAGGGGGACAACAGUUGGAAACGACUGCUAAUACCGCAUAAGCCCACGACCUGGCAUCGGGUUGAGGGAAAAGGAGCAAUCCGCUUUGAGAUGGCCUCGCGUCCGAUUAGCUAGUUGGUGAGGUAACGGCCCACCAAGGCAACGAUCGGUAGCCGGACUGAGAGGUUGAACGGCCACAUUGGGACUGAGACACGGCCCAGACUCCUACGGGAGGCAGCAGUGGGGAAUAUUGCACAAUGGGGGAAACCCUGAUGCAGCGACGCCGCGUGGAGGAAGAAGGGUCUUCGGGAUUGGUAAAACUCCUGUUGUUGAGGAAGAUAAUGACGGUACUCAACAAGGAAGUG
This 469-nucleotide ribosomal RNA is filed under the name uncultured bacterium. RNAcentral describes it as "bacterial SSU rRNA". It matches the Rfam family "Bacterial small subunit ribosomal RNA", at positions 28 to 492 of the family's 1533-position model. The record is from RNAcentral.